This 406-nucleotide ribosomal RNA is filed under the name uncultured bacterium. RNAcentral describes it as "partial 16S ribosomal RNA". It matches the Rfam family "Bacterial small subunit ribosomal RNA", at positions 29 to 526 of the family's 1533-position model. The record is from RNAcentral.
AUUGAACGCUGGCGGCAGGCCUAACACAUGCAAGUCGAACGAGUGGCGGACGGGUGAGUAAUGUCUGGGAAACUGCCCGAUGGAGGGGGAUAACUACUGGAAACGGUAGCUAAUACCGCAUCCCCUCGGAUGUGCCCAGAUGGGAGGAGCUUGGAGUUGCGGUAACGGCUCACCUGGGCGACGAUCCCUCGCUGGUCUGCGAGGAUGACCAGCCAAACGGGAAGUGGGACACGCUCCAGCCUCUUACGGGAGGCAGCAGUGGGGAAUAUUGGACAAGGGGCGCAAGCCGGAUGCAGCAAGGCCGCGUGUAUGAAGAAGGCCUUCGGGUUGUAAAGUACGUUAAGCGGGGAGGCGUUACCCGAAGAAGAAGCACCGGCUAACUCCGUGCCAGCAGCCGCGGUAAUAC